UACGGAGGGUGCGGGCGUUGUCCGGAUUUAUUGGGCGUAAAGGGCUUGUAGGUGGUUUGUCGCGUCUGUCGUGAAAUCCUGUGGCUUAACCAUGGGCUUGCGGUGGGUACGGGCAGGCUUGAGUGCGGUAGGGGAGACUGGAAUUCCUGGUGUAGCGGUGGAAUGCGCAGAUAUCAGGAGGAACACCGGUGGCGAAGGCGGGUCUCUGGGCAGUAACUGACGCUGAGGAGCGAAAGCAUGGGGAGCGAACAGG
RNAcentral lists this ribosomal RNA (253 nucleotides) under uncultured bacterium. RNAcentral describes it as "partial 16S ribosomal RNA". It matches the Rfam family "Bacterial small subunit ribosomal RNA", at positions 524 to 776 of the family's 1533-position model. The record is from RNAcentral.